This 61-nucleotide transfer RNA is filed under the name Pheidole yeensis. RNAcentral's name for it is "tRNA-Ser". Lineage: Eukaryota; Metazoa; Arthropoda; Insecta; Hymenoptera; Formicidae. The record is from RNAcentral.
GAAAUAAAAACUUAGUGAACUUCUAAUUCAUUCUACUAUGAUUAUAGAUCAUAUUAUUUCU